This is a long non-coding RNA of Piliocolobus tephrosceles (Ugandan red Colobus), 335 nucleotides long. RefSeq lists it as uncharacterized. The transcript is spliced from 3 exons. Lineage: Eukaryota; Metazoa; Chordata; Mammalia; Primates; Cercopithecidae. The record is from RefSeq and is a predicted model, not a curated record.
UCUUCCAGAUUUUGCAGACCUGUUGGUGCUGAAUGUAAGAGGUCUUCCGGAUCUGAUUGUUACGUUUUUUAGUAAAAGCAACACAGAAUAGACAAAAUGUACAUUGAAGAUGUCAGUUUCUACAUGUGGGAAGUAGACAUUGAAGGCUUUAUGGUUUACAGACAAGAUCUUUAGAAGUUAAGCACUAAAGGACCAAGAAAAUAAAUACCAGAAAUCAACAAGAGCACAGACUGUUUCCCUUCAUCAAUCCGUAGAGCCCUACUACUUCUUUAGUUCCAUCAAACACAGAGGAAUGACCACCAUGGCAGAUGGCAACAGAGGAUGUCAACAAUUUU